Molecule: long non-coding RNA, 1075 nt
Organism: Gallus gallus (chicken)
Lineage: Eukaryota; Metazoa; Chordata; Aves; Galliformes; Phasianidae
Exons: 6
Source: RefSeq, a predicted model, not a curated record
GGGUUUCUUUCUGGAGGUCCCUCCUUGGUGAAGUUUUCCCUUUGAACCUGGAAUCUUAUGAUAUGGGGGGAAGAGCUGUGUUUUUCUUUUGCGGUCUUUUAUGAACUACUGCUCUUCAGGGACAGAGACCACUUGUGCAAGAGGGAGAGCAACUGCUUAUUGAUGUAAUUGUAGCAAAUGAAGACAGUAUAAAGGGGAGGUAACUGACAGCAUCUUUCUGAAAGAUAUGCAGAGACUCUCCGGCUUCAUUGGGGUUGUUUGUACAUGUUGCCAGAUACUUGUCCUAAGUGGUGUUUGUUUCCUUUCCAUAAAGAAGACACCAGCUCUGGUCGCUGAUAAAACAAAGCUUGGCAAAGUCCCAAGCACAAUAUCUUGUUCUGGGAAUGCACUCAACUUGAUCUUCUCAUUUACCUCACAGGCAUUCAUUCUUCAAAAGCCAAGGGCGUACAUCUUUGGGAGAUGAAGCUGCAAAAGAAUUUUGAAUAGAUUGAACCUGGGGAUACUUCUGGCUCAGUUAGUAUUAAUGGCAAGUUGGCUUUGGAAAAUGACAAACUCCGCAGUCUGGUGCUGGAAGAAUUAGAAGGGCUUGAAACGUGGGAAAAUAAUGGAGAAACAGCUUUGAAGUGGUUAUUCAUCUCCUUCAAAUACACCCACCGGACAACUGGGACAGAUACAAGCCGCAAAGGGAGGUACCUCCCAUGGUCAGCCCUGCAGCCCCGCAGAAGUUAGAAAGGAGUGGGGAGAAGAAAUGGUGGAGCUGGCAACAUCUUUGUGAUCUCUCAAGUGGAUCCACAGCCCAGGUGGAGCAUCCUGUUCUACUAAAGGUUGUAGAAACAUUUCUCUCCCACCUCUUUGUCUUUGGGCUGAGUCCAGAAAACUUCAGUGACAUCUGGGAAAAAAGUGAUGAAACUGUACCUGAACAAUAACAUUAAAACAUAGCUUGCUGGCAGCAUGGGCUGUGUUAUGUGAGGUCUGCCUGUUCCUGCUUUACCCAGAGAGCACCAGCAGCAAGCUGGACAUGUCCUCAGAUGGCUGCAGAAGUCAAGUUGUGAGAGCUGCACCGUGGCAGGUGAAU